Molecule: ribosomal RNA, 859 nt
Filed under: marine metagenome
Description: bacterial SSU rRNA
Rfam family: Bacterial small subunit ribosomal RNA
Source: RNAcentral
UGUGCUAAUACCAAAUAAGCCUUUACAGGGAAAGUUUUAACGCCGAAAGAUGAGCUGCACUUGAUUAGCUAGUUGGUAAGGUAAAAGCUUACCAAGGCAACGAUCAAUAGCUGUUCUUAGAGGAAGACCAGCCACAUUGGGACUGAGACACGGCCCAGACUCCUACGGGAGGCAGCAGUGGGGAAUCUUGCACAAUGGGGGAAACCCUGAUGCAGCGAUGCCGCGUGAGUGAAGAAGGCCCUUGGGUUGUAAAACUCUUUCGUCGGGGAAGAAAAUGACUGUACCCGAAUAAGAAGGUCCGGCUAACUUCGUGCCAGCAGCCGCGGUAAUACGAAGGGACCUAGCGUAGUUCGGAAUUACUGGGCUUAAAGAGCUCGUAGGUGGUUAAAAAAGUUGAUGGUGAAAUCCCAAGGCUCAACCUUGGAACUGCCAUCAAAACUUUUUAGCUAGAGUGUGAUAGAGGUAAGUGGAAUUUCUAGUGUAGAGGUGAAAUUCGUAGAUAUUAGAAAGAACACCAAAUGCGAAGGCAACUUACUGGGUCACUACUGACACUGAGGAGCGAAAGCAUGGGUAGCGAAGAGGAUUAGAUACCCUCGUAGUCCAUGCCGUAAACGAUGUGUGCUAGACGUUGGAAAUAUAUUUUUCAGUGUCGCAGCGAAAGCAUUAAGCACACCGCCUGGGGAGUACGACCGCAAGGUUAAAACUCAAAUGAAUUGACGGGGACCCGCACAAGCAGUGGAGCAUGUGGUUUAAUUCGAAGAUACGCGCAGAACCUUACCAACACUUGACAUGUUCGUCGCGAGACUAAGAGAUUAGUCUUUUCAGUUUGGCUGGACGAAACACAGGUGCUGCAUGGCUG